GCAAGUCGAACGCGAAAGUCCUUCGGGGCGAGUAGAGUGGCGGACGGGUGAGUAACGCAUGGGAAUCUGCCCUGCAGUGGGGGACAACCCGGGGAAACCCGGGCUAAUACCGCAUACGACCUGAGGGUGAAAGGGGGCUUCGGCUCUCGCUGCAGGAUGAGCCCAUGUCCGAUUAGCUAGUUGGUGAGGUAAGAGCUCACCAAGGCGACGAUCGGUAGCUGGUCUGAGAGGAUGAUC
This 237-nucleotide ribosomal RNA is filed under the name uncultured bacterium. Its description in RNAcentral is "partial 16S ribosomal RNA". It matches the Rfam family "Bacterial small subunit ribosomal RNA", at positions 57 to 305 of the family's 1533-position model. The record is from RNAcentral.